RNAcentral lists this ribosomal RNA (568 nucleotides) under Vibrio cholerae. RNAcentral describes it as "partial 23S ribosomal RNA". It matches the Rfam family "Bacterial large subunit ribosomal RNA", at positions 393 to 963 of the family's 2925-position model. The record is from RNAcentral. Lineage: Bacteria; Pseudomonadati; Pseudomonadota; Gammaproteobacteria; Vibrionales; Vibrionaceae.
UCAUCGAGCGUGAAAUCGAGUAGGGCGGGACACGUGAUAUCCUGUCUGAAUAUGGGGGGACCAUCCUCCAAGGCUAAAUACUCCUGACUGACCGAUAGUGAACCAGUACCGUGAGGGAAAGGCGAAAAGAACCCCUGUGAGGGGAGUGAAAUAGAACCUGAAACCGUGUACGUACAAGCAGUAGGAGCACCUUCGUGGUGUGACUGCGUACCUUUUGUAUAAUGGGUCAGCGACUUAUAUUCAGUGGCAAGGUUAACCGUAUAGGGGAGCCGUAGCGAAAGCGAGUCUUAACUGGGCGCUCAGUCUCUGGAUAUAGACCCGAAACCGGGUGAUCUAGCCAUGGGCAGGUUGAAGGUUGAGUAACAUCAACUGGAGGACCGAACCGACUAAUGUUGAAAAAUUAGCGGAUGACUUGUGGCUAGGGGUGAAAGGCCAAUCAAACUCGGAGAUAGCUGGUUCUCCCCGAAAGCUAUUUAGGUAGCGCCUCGGACGAAUACUACUGGGGGUAGAGCACUGUUAAGGCUAGGGGGUCAUCCCGACUUACCAACCCUUUGCAAACUCCGAAUAC